UACGAACGGGACUAGCGUUGUUCGGAAUUACUGGGCGUAAAGCGCGCGUAGGCGGCCUAGCAAGUUGGGGGUGAAAGCCCAGGGCUCAACCCUGGAAUUGCCUCCAAAACUGCGAAGCUCGAGGCCGAGAGAGGAGUGUGGAAUUCCUAGUGUAGAGGUGAAAUUCGUAUAUAUUAGGAAGAACCCCGGUGGCGAAGGCGACACUCUGGCUCGGUACUGACGCUGAGACGCGAAAGCGUGGAGAGCAAACAGG
This 253-nucleotide ribosomal RNA is filed under the name uncultured bacterium. Its description in RNAcentral is "partial 16S ribosomal RNA". It matches the Rfam family "Bacterial small subunit ribosomal RNA", at positions 524 to 776 of the family's 1533-position model. The record is from RNAcentral.